CUACGGGGGGCACCAGUGGGGAAUAUUGCACAAUGGGCGCAAGCCUGAUGCAGCGACGCCGCGUGAGUGAAGAAGUAUUUCGGUAUGUAAAGCUCUAUCAGCAGGGAGGAUGAUGACAGUACCUGACUAAGAAGCUCCGGCUAAAUACGUGCCAGCAGCCGCGGUAAUACGUAUGGAGCAAGCGUUAUCCGGAUUUACUGGGUGUAAAGGGAGUGUAGGUGGCUUUGUAAGUCAGAUGUGAAAGCCCAGGGCUCAACCCUGGGACUGCAUUUGAAACUACAUGGCUUGAGUGCAGGAGAGGUAAGUGGAAUUCCUAGUGUAGCGGUGAAAUGCGUAGAUAUUAGGAAGAACACCAGUGGAGAAGGCGGCUUACUGGACUGUAACUGACACUGAGGCUCGAAAGCGUGGGGAGCAAACAGGAUUAGAUACCCGAGUAGUC
Molecule: ribosomal RNA, 439 nt
Filed under: uncultured bacterium
Lineage: Bacteria
Description: partial 16S ribosomal RNA
Rfam family: Bacterial small subunit ribosomal RNA
Source: RNAcentral